GUCCCACUGAGGAACCAGCACCAGGUUAGGAGGUCUGGUCCCACUGAGGAACAUCACCAGGUUAGAAGGUCUGGUCCCACUGAGGAACCAGCACUAGGUCAGAAGGCUUUCAAGAUAUCCAUGUACAGAAACACACACGAAUAAUUGACCUCACCUAGGGAUCCUUUUAAAUGGCCAGCUUUGAGGGGGACGAUUCUAUGCAAUCGAUCAAUUAAUAUUGAUCAGACGGUCAGUUCUUAUUGGUUCAAUCAAAGAAGGACAACUCACCCCCCCCCCCCCCA
Gadus macrocephalus (Pacific cod) is the source of this 281-nucleotide long non-coding RNA. RefSeq lists it as uncharacterized. The record is from RefSeq and is a predicted model, not a curated record. The transcript is spliced from 2 exons. Lineage: Eukaryota; Metazoa; Chordata; Actinopteri; Gadiformes; Gadidae.